RNAcentral lists this long non-coding RNA (4011 nucleotides) under Sus scrofa (pig). RNAcentral's name for it is "lncRNA (ENSSSCG00045011655.1)". The record is from RNAcentral. Lineage: Eukaryota; Metazoa; Chordata; Mammalia; Artiodactyla; Suidae.
CUGGAGGGAAGACAUCCGGCCUGGGGACCCCCAGCACACCAAGAAGUUCUGCUUUGACGCCAUCUCCCACACCAGCCCCGUCACUCUCUACGACUGCCACAGCAUGAAGGGCAACCAGCUGUGGAAGUACCGCAAAGACCAGACCAUGUACCACCCCGUCAGCGGCAGCUGCAUGGACUGCAGUGAAAGUGACCACAGGAUCUUCAUGAACACCUGCAACCCCUCCUCUCCCACCCAGCAGUGGCUGUUUGAACACAUCAACUCAACAGUCUUGGAAAAAUUCAACAGCAGCUGAGCUCUCACGUUCCCGUGGCGGGCCUGGCAGGGUCCUCUCUGGCGCUCACCACAGCCUCCACCUCCCAAGGGGGGCAGAGCUUCUGCAAGCCCCGUCACGUAAAAGGUGCUGGCCACCCAGGUUAGGGCAGAGAGGGCUCUUGCGGCUGGGCCAGCUGUCCGCCUGAUCCUGCAGGCCCUGGGUGGCGAUGGGAUGGACAGCAGACCCCACCAGAGGCUCCACCUGAGCAGAGCCUGCUCCAGCCCUGAUGGCACCACGGAAAUCCAGGACAGCCUUUUCAGCAUGGUCACCACGUUCCCUUGGGACACUUUGCAGGAAGAAUGCCAGGGCAACCCCAAACGAGUCCUCCUCCGGGGCUGCCCAGCCUCAGGUGGCUGGGACGUGUCGGCCCUGUCAGAAGAGAGGCAGUUCUGUCUGCAGGGGGGCAGCUCUUAGCGCUGGCACCCUUCAUCUACACCAGAAAGGAAGACGUCUUUCUCGGGGCUGAUGGUUUUAGUUUUUGCCUGGCUUGGGGUAACUGUGAUUACUGCCCAGCGUCUGUUCUCUGUCACAGCCGCAGGAGAUGCAGUCAGAGGCCAUAUUGGGGCUUCUGGGUGUUCAGUACUGAACACUGACCAACUGCCAGGCCAAGGUUUGGAAAGGGGGCUGCAAGUCAUUCCUUUGCUGCCACGGACAUACCGAUGUCUCCCCUUGCUCCCGGGGUACUUGAAGCUCCCGCGUUAGUGCUCUCCAGGCACAGGGACAGCCCCGCCCACAGGUUUUCAGGGCUGUGUUUGGGCCUGUGGCACAGCCUAGUAGAUAAACUCCAGACUAGAAAUUCUGGCUGAAUCUCCCUCAUCAGUGCUUCCAUCUCUCUGUCUCUCUCCCUCUCUCCCUCUCCCCCUCUCCCCCGCCCCCUCUCUCUCCACCUCAAGAGAGGAACAGAGGUGUGAGGUGCUCAUCUCACAAAGUCCAGAGGCCCCCGGGGUGGACAUGGACAGGAUGCCCAGCUUCUGACUCAUCAUGGGUCUGGUUCUCGCAGGGAGCUCUAGAAUUUUUAAGGAACUCUGUCAUUUGACCACAAAUUAGAAUGCCACAUAGGAUGCUGGCAUUCUAGCAUCUGAUACGGAUUCCUAUAGUGCAUAAAGGCAUCCCCCAGCCUAGAGACAGUCUGUGAAAUCCAGGCUUGGUGGUGUUGGAGGAGGGGGGACCCCUGUCCAUCAGCUCUUACCAGGGGCUUCAGUGUGACACAGUCCUCAGCCCAGAGGGAGCUCUGCCACCUCCCACCACGGUUACAGCUGCAGUGGAGAACAGGCCCCAGUGUCCCACGAAUAGAGGUGCACCCAGCUCCUUGUUGGUCCUUUGUGUUUACCUUUCACUUUGUUAAUUAUGUGUCAGACUCCCAGAGGACUCCCAAACUAAUAGGAAGCGUUUCUGUAACCAGCCUGCCAGCCACUGAUUCAGAAAUGGAAGUCACAGUCUAUGGUGCAUGGCUUCCGCCAGCUAUAGCCCAGGAAGUCCUUGAACUCAGUAUUCCCAUUAGAGCUGAGCCUCUUGAUUGGGUCAUUUACCAGUGAAAUAACUUGAGACAUAAAUCUGGGAGCGGAGCCGGCAAAACAUCACUUCCAUUUCUGCCUCGGCACAAGCCCUGCUCUGGCCACCUGUCCACAGGAGAGAUGGCCCUGUGCUCGCAAAGCUUGCCUAUCCAUCCCUAGUAUCUUUUCCAAGUGGGAACUCUACCUUCAGAAGUGGCCUCUGUAAGACAGAGUCAGAAGAUGAGGCCUCUUCCAGAAUUUAGGAUAACAAGAGUGUUGCAGCCUGGGAGAGUUGUGUUAGGGUUCAUCAUCAGAGGGCAAUGCAGCAUCAUUAAAAACUGUGCCUUUUAAAAAGAAAAAAUGCAAAUGUACAGCCAAUCCCUAAACUUGAAUCAUUUCCUAGUGCCUUGCUAGACAAAAUAAAGGGGCGGGGGCGGGGGGGGAAGCACUUUGGGUGGAGUGUGCAGUUCCUGUUGGGUGAGUGCGUGUUCCUUAAAGUCUAAUUUCAAGCAGGAGACCUUGGGCCUAAAGCAGGAUCUGAGACAGUAGUGCCCCCCAAGAGGCAGAGGCCAGAAGUUACUCCAUUUAAUUUAGUGCGUGUAACGCCCCAAAUUAAAGGACAACUGGAUGGCUCAUUUAAUCCAGGGCCAACAAGGGCCUGAGCAGCCCCUGGGAGAGGGCCCUGUUUGACAUCCCAGCCCCCAGGUGGAAUGUGGAGCACUGGCUAUGUUUCCAGAUUGUCCCACUCCAGGCAGGGGACCGCGUUCUCCAAGAGACCGGGAUGCGUGUGGGAAGCAGGAGCGGCAGCAGGCCGUCCUCAGCAGCCCUCCUUUCCUCCUCGGGUUAUCCUGGGUCUGCUUUUGCACCCCCACCAAGGAAUGGGCGGGUCCUUGAGCACUCUGGCAUCUGUAACUGCUGAGCCCACAUCCGCAGGUGCAGAGACACCACGUAGCCUGUCAUCAGGGAAGGACCAGAGAAGCUCAUUCCUUCACUGACCAGCUGAGGGCACAUCCUCACCACGCAUUGCUUUGUCUUCAUUUUGGAAAACCACCUGUCUCCAGGAACCUGUGGAGGUGCGUCAGUCACGUAACAGGUGACCCUGUGGCCCCCUUUCCCUCCAAAGCCCUUCUCCUGAGCAUGAGGUCACCAGACAGGGUGUGGCCAGGAAGUAUGAUCCCUGUGUGGCUCACCCACAGCCUUUCCAAAGGGGAACCCCGCCAACACUUCAGAAUGCAAAGAGCAUCUUUGCCGUAAGUACACUUGUUAAGUGUGCAGGCCCGAAUGUGAAAAGCUAUUCCACCCGGUGCUUCCAGUUGGGGCCUUCACCUUUUAAAAGAAUCCAGGAACCACCCACUCCCCAGUUGUGGGAGAAAUAGCUCAGAGGCAGAAGGGAGCACAUCCGUGGAAGCGAUCUGAUGGGGAAUGCGAGCUUAGAACUGGGGGAGAAAGAGCAUUCUUGUCGGAGAUGUAACAUUCGGAUUCCCCAAGUCCACCUUGUGUUCGCUUUUCUGACCUCCUGCCUGUUGAGUUUCUUUUCCUCCUUAAGGAAGAGGUGAUAUCCUCGAAGACGGUUCCAUGUUUCUUUCUGCGCAUCUCCAUUUUUCUAGACUCUGAUGAAAGUUUCAAAAGGAUGGCCAAGCACUUUACAGUACUGAGGACUCUGGACUCCUUGCUUCAAGGACCCCUCGUUUGUACAGAUUGGGCAAUCUUUUAUAAUGCUUAGAAGACAGCGCAUUUUUAAUUAAGUUUUCUGAAGAUGUCUAAGUGUGAGAGGGGGGCGCAGAGUGAGUUCUGUUCUGGAAUUCAUUUCUGCUUUCAGUUGAUGCUUUUUUUGUGUGAAAAUCCAAGUGAUGCUUUAGUUCAGACUUGAUCUGGAGCCAAGGCCUGCGGUCAUCUCUCGGGUGGGAGUGGGACCUACAUUCCAAGCGAUAAGCUCCUCUUAACAUCCGCUCCCAAAAUGGCUUUGAUUCCACCGUUCCAGCCAACAGGGUCGGGUUCUUGGUCUGUUAUGGGCUUAAAGGUACAUCUCAAAGGGAUUCCAGGCAGGGAAUGUUUAAGACGUCAAAUCUGGGGUUCCUCACAGGAAGCUGGAGUCGGCCAGCCUCUCAUCUCCUGCCUGAAAAAGUGAGCGUUUGUGAAGACCUGACUCCCCAUGUACAACUGUGAUUAUGACUGUCGUUGAGUAAAUCUCCAGACUUUUCU